UACGUAGGGUGCGAGCGUUGUCCGGAAUUAUUGGGCGUAAAGAGCUCAUAGGCGGCUCGUUGCGUCGGCUGUGAAAACCCGCAGCUCAACUGUGGGCUUGCAGCUGAUACGGGCGGGCUGGGAUUCGGUAGGGGAGACUGGAAUUCCUGGUGUAGCGGUGAAAUGCGCAGAUAUCAGGAGGAACACCGGUGGCGAAGGCGGGUCUCUGGGCCGAUAUCGACGCUGAGGAGCGAAAGCGUGGGGAGCGAACAGG
RNAcentral lists this ribosomal RNA (253 nucleotides) under uncultured bacterium. RNAcentral's name for it is "partial 16S ribosomal RNA". It matches the Rfam family "Bacterial small subunit ribosomal RNA", at positions 524 to 776 of the family's 1533-position model. The record is from RNAcentral.